Molecule: ribosomal RNA, 253 nt
Filed under: uncultured bacterium
Lineage: Bacteria
Description: partial 16S ribosomal RNA
Rfam family: Bacterial small subunit ribosomal RNA
Source: RNAcentral
UACGUAGGGUGCUAGCGUUGUUCGGAAUCAUUGGGCGUAAAGCGCGUGUAGGUGGCUAGUUAAGUCAGAUGUGAAAUCCCUGGGCUCAACCGAGGAAGUGCAUUUGAAACUAAUUAGCUAGAGAAUGGUAGAGGGAGGUGGAAUUCCGUGUGUAGAGGUGAAAUUCGUAGAUAUACGGAGGAAUACCGGUGGCGAAGGCGGCCUCCUGGACCAUUUCUGACACUGAGACGCGAAAGCGUGGGGAGCAAACAGG